UUUAUUGGAGAGUUUGAUCCUGGCUCAGGAUGAACGCUGGCGGCGUGCCUAAUACAUGCAAGUCGAGCGAAUGGAUUAAGAGCUUGCUCUUAUGAAGUUAGCGGCGGACGGGUGAGUAACACGUGGGUAACCUGCCCAUAAGACUGGGAUAACUCCGGGAAACCGGGGCUAAUACCGGAUAACAUUUUGAACCGCAUGGUUCGAAAUUGAAAGGCGGCUUCGGCUGUC
This 228-nucleotide ribosomal RNA is filed under the name Bacillus thuringiensis. RNAcentral describes it as "partial 16S ribosomal RNA". It matches the Rfam family "Bacterial small subunit ribosomal RNA", at positions 1 to 216 of the family's 1533-position model. The record is from RNAcentral. RNAcentral also lists the same sequence under 1 other name. Lineage: Bacteria; Bacillati; Bacillota; Bacilli; Caryophanales; Bacillaceae.